This 522-nucleotide ribosomal RNA is filed under the name Shigella flexneri. RNAcentral describes it as "bacterial SSU rRNA". It matches the Rfam family "Bacterial small subunit ribosomal RNA", at positions 882 to 1404 of the family's 1533-position model. The record is from RNAcentral. Lineage: Bacteria; Pseudomonadati; Pseudomonadota; Gammaproteobacteria; Enterobacterales; Enterobacteriaceae.
ACGGCCGCAAGGUUAAAACUCAAAUGAAUUGACGGGGGCCCGCACAAGCGGUGGAGCAUGUGGUUUAAUUCGAUGCAACGCGAAGAACCUUACCUGGUCUUGACAUCCACGGAAGUUUUCAGAGAUGAGAAUGUGCCUUCGGGAACCGUGAGACAGGUGCUGCAUGGCUGUCGUCAGCUCGUGUUGUGAAAUGUUGGGUUAAGUCCCGCAACGAGCGCAACCCUUAUCCUUUGUUGCCAGCGGUCCGGCCGGGAACUCAAAGGAGACUGCCAGUGAUAAACUGGAGGAAGGUGGGGAUGACGUCAAGUCAUCAUGGCCCUUACGACCAGGGCUACACACGUGCUACAAUGGCGCAUACAAAGAGAAGCGACCUCGCGAGAGCAAGCGGACCUCAUAAAGUGCGUCGUAGUCCGGAUUGGAGUCUGCAACUCGACUCCAUGAAGUCGGAAUCGCUAGUAAUCGUGGAUCAGAAUGCCACGGUGAAUACGUUCCCGGGCCUUGUACACACCGCCCGUCACACCA